GACGAACGCUGGCGGCGUGCUUAACACAUGCAAGUCGAACGGAAAGGCCCUGCUUUUGUGGGGUGCUUGAGUGGCGAACGGGUGAGUAACACGUGAGUAACCUGCCCCUGACUUUGGGAUAACUCCAGGAAACUGGGGCUAAUACCGGAUAGGAGCUUCUGCUGCACGGUGGGGGUUGGAAAGUUUCGGCGGUUGGGGCUGGACUCGCGGCUUAUCAGCUUGUUGGUGGGGUAGUGGCUUACCAAGGCUUUGACGGGUAGCCGGCCUGAGAGGGGGAACGGGCACAUGGGGACUGAGAUACGGCCCAGACUCCAACGGGAGGCAGCAGUGGGGAAUAUUGCGCAAUGGGCGGAAGCCUGAUGCAGCAACGCCGCGUGCGGGAUGACGGCCUUCGGGUUGUAAACCGCUUUCGCCUGUGACGAAGCGUGAGUGACGGUAAUGGGUAAAGAAGCACCGGCUAACUACGUG
Molecule: ribosomal RNA, 468 nt
Filed under: uncultured bacterium
Lineage: Bacteria
Description: partial 16S ribosomal RNA
Rfam family: Bacterial small subunit ribosomal RNA
Source: RNAcentral